AGAACGAACGCUGGCGGCGUACUUAACACAUGCAAGUCGAACGAGAAAGGACACUUCGGUGUCUGAGUAAAGUGGCGAACGGGUGCGUAACACGUAAGUAAUCUACCUUGGGCACUGGGAUAACUUCUCGAAAGGGGAGCUAAGACCGGAUAGUGUCCCCGAGGCUUAAGUUGCGGGGGGAAAACGGGCCUCUGAUUCAAGCUCGUGGCUCAAGAUGAGCUUGCGGCCCAUUAGCUUGUUGGCAGGGUAAAAGCCUACCAAGGCGACGAUGGGUAGCUGGUCUGAGAGGAUGAUCAGCCACACUGGCACUGAGACACGGGCCAGACUCCUACGGGAGGCAGCAGUGGGGAAUUUUGCGCAAUGGGCGAAAGCCUGACGCAGUAACGCCGCGUGGAGGAUGAAGGCCCUCGGGUCGUAAACUCCUGUCGGAGGGAAAGACGAAAAUGGGACGAAUAGUCUCAUUUUACAGACGGUACCCUCAAAGGAAGCCCCGGCUAAUUCCGUGCCAGCAGCCGCGGUAAUACGGAAGGGGCAAGCGUUGUUCGGAAUUAUUGGGCGUAAAGGGCGCGUAGGCGGUUUCGUAUGUCCGCUGUGAAAGCACACGGCUCAACCGUGGAGAGUCGGUGGAAACUGCGAAACUUGAGGCUGGGAGGGGCUGGUGGAAUUCCCUGUGUAGCGGUGAAAUGCGUAGAUAUAGGGGAGAACACUCGUGGCGAAGGCGGCCAGCUGGACCAGUUCUGACGCUGAGGCGCGACAGCGUGGGGAGCAAACAGGAUUAGAUACCCUGGUAGUCCACGCCGUAAACGAUGGGCACUAGGUGUCGGCGGUAUUAAUCCGUCGGUGCCGGCGCUAACGCAGUAAGUGCCCCGCCUGGGGAGUACGGUCGCAAGGCUG
This 894-nucleotide ribosomal RNA is filed under the name uncultured bacterium. RNAcentral describes it as "bacterial SSU rRNA". It matches the Rfam family "Bacterial small subunit ribosomal RNA", at positions 26 to 896 of the family's 1533-position model. The record is from RNAcentral.